This 345-nucleotide unclassified non-coding RNA is filed under the name soil metagenome. RNAcentral's name for it is "partial contains 5.8S ribosomal RNA, internal transcribed spacer 2, and large subunit ribosomal RNA". The stretch from base 1 to 120 matches the Rfam family "5.8S ribosomal RNA", at positions 35 to 154 of the family's 154-position model. The record is from RNAcentral.
GAUGAAGAACGUAGCGAAAUGCGAUACGUAAUGUGAAUUGCAGAAUUCAGUGAAUCAUCGAGUCUUUGAACGCACAUUGCGCCCCCUGGUAUUCCGGGGGGCAUGCCUGUCCGAGCGUCAUUGCUGCCCUCAAGCACGGCUUGUGUGUUGGGCCUCCGUCCUCCUCCCGGGGGACGGGCCCGAAAGGCAGCGGCGGCACCGCGUCCGGUCCUCGAGCGUAUGGGGCUUCGUCACCCGCUCUUGUAGGCCCGGCCGGCGCUUGCCGACACAUCAAUCUUUUCUCCAGGUUGACCUCGGAUCAGGUAGGGAUACCCGCUGAACUUAGGCAUAUCAAUAAGCGGAGGA